AUUGAACGCUGGCGGCAGGCCUAACACAUGCAAGUCGAGCGGAUGAAGGGAGCUUUCUCCUGGAUUCCGCGGCGGACGGGUGAGUAAUGCCUAGGAAUCUGCCUGGUAGUGGUGUAUAACGUCCUGAGACGGGCGCUAAUACCGCAUACGUCCUGAGCGAGAAAGUGGGGGAUCUUCGGACCUCACGCUAUCAGAUGAGCCUAGGUCGGAUUAGCUAGUUGGUGGGGUAAAGGGCUACCUAGGCGACGAUCCGUAACUGGUCUGAGAGGAUGAUCAGUCACACGGGAGCGGAGACGCGGUCAAGAGUACUACGGGAGGGAGCAGUGGGGAAUAUUGGACAAUGGGCGAAAGCCUGAUACAGCCAUGCCGCGUGUGUGAAGAAGGUGUUCGGAUCGUAAAGCACUUUAAGUGGGGAGGAAGGGCAGUAAGUUAAUACCUUGCUGUUUUGACGUUACCAACAGAAUAAGCACCGGCUAACUUCGUG
This 484-nucleotide ribosomal RNA is filed under the name uncultured bacterium. RNAcentral's name for it is "partial 16S ribosomal RNA". It matches the Rfam family "Bacterial small subunit ribosomal RNA", at positions 30 to 507 of the family's 1533-position model. The record is from RNAcentral.